GACGGCCUGGAUAGCACUGCCACCACCGGUGUUGAUGUCCCCCUCAAACCCAGGCAGAAGAGGGGUGACAACGUAGACACGUAUGGUGGCAGCACACCAGGGGCCUAUUAAAUGUGCCUCACCUUGGUGAAGUUCCAGCGCUGGAUGAAGUGUCUGGCGACGUCUCUGGCUGCCCUCCCAUGGACCACUGAGGCAAU
This is a long non-coding RNA of Alosa alosa (allis shad), 197 nucleotides long. RefSeq lists it as uncharacterized. The transcript is spliced from 3 exons. NCBI's taxonomy places the organism in Eukaryota, Metazoa, Chordata, Actinopteri, Clupeiformes, Clupeidae. The record is from RefSeq and is a predicted model, not a curated record.